This 652-nucleotide ribosomal RNA is filed under the name Aeromonas sp. AT-BI-23. RNAcentral's name for it is "bacterial SSU rRNA". It matches the Rfam family "Bacterial small subunit ribosomal RNA", at positions 51 to 691 of the family's 1533-position model. Lineage: Bacteria; Pseudomonadati; Pseudomonadota; Gammaproteobacteria; Aeromonadales; Aeromonadaceae. The record is from RNAcentral.
GUACCAUGCAGUCGAGCGGCAGCGGGAAAGUAGCUUGCUACUUUUGCCGGCGAGCGGCGGACGGGUGAGUAAUGCCUGGGAAAUUGCCCAGUCGAGGGGGAUAACAGUUGGAAACGACUGCUAAUACCGCAUACGCCCUACGGGGGAAAGCAGGGGACCUUCGGGCCUUGCGCGAUUGGAUAUGCCCAGGUGGGAUUAGCUUGUUGAUGANGUAAUGGCUCACCAAGGCGACGAUCCCUAACUGGUCUGAGAGGAUGAUCAGCCACGCUGGAACUGAGACACGGUCCAGACUCCUACGGGAGGCAGCAGUGGGGAAUAUUGCACAAUGGGGGAAACCCUGAUGCAGCCAUGCCGCGUGUGUGAAGAAGGCCUUCGGGUUGUAAAGCACUUUCAGCGAGGAGGAAAGGUUGAUGCCUAAUACGCAUCAGCUGUGACGUUACUCGCAGAAGAAGCACCGGCUAACUCCGUGCCAGCAGCCGCGGUAAUACGGAGGGUGCAAGCGUUAAUCGGAAUUACUGGACGUACAGCGCACGCAGGCGGUUGGAUAAGUUAGAUGUGACAGCCCCGGGCUCAACCUGGGAAUUGCAUUUAAAACUGUCCAGCUAGAGUCUUGUAGAGGGGGGUAGAAUUCCAGGUGUAGCGGUGAAUGCGU